This 328-nucleotide long non-coding RNA is filed under the name Vigna radiata. RNAcentral describes it as "long non-coding RNA (VRAD_LNC002612)". Lineage: Eukaryota; Viridiplantae; Streptophyta; Magnoliopsida; Fabales; Fabaceae. The record is from RNAcentral.
UGGGAGACACAUUCUGCCAAGCUUUUAAUUCCCUUUCUCUCGAAAUCCGUGCAACAGCAGCAGAGCAGUGAACCCCCAGCAAGUGGAAGUCAGGUGUCACGCUGGAGUUGGCCAAACCGUCCGGAUUGAAGGCAGUAUAUAAGGUAAGAGUGAAGAACUGACGCCACUUUUGCAUGCAAACUUCAUCUUCUUCCUCAAAACCCAACUUUCUGAAACUCUCAAACUCUCCUCCUUCUCUCUAAAACCUCCCUACCUUCUCUCUAAAAUUCUAACCCAUUUACUGUUCCGAUCACCCUUCAGAUCACACCUGAAGACUCCUGGUGGUCUC